RNAcentral lists this ribosomal RNA (466 nucleotides) under uncultured bacterium. Its description in RNAcentral is "partial 16S ribosomal RNA". It matches the Rfam family "Bacterial small subunit ribosomal RNA", at positions 29 to 507 of the family's 1533-position model. The record is from RNAcentral.
ACGAACGCUGGCGGCGUGCUUAACCCAUGCACGUCGAACGGAAAGGCCUCUUUCGGGGGGUACUCGAGUGGCGAACGGGUGAGUAACACGUGAGUAACCUGCCCUUGACUUUGGGAUAACUUCAGGAAACUGGGGCUAAUACCGGAUAGGAGCUCCUGCUGCAUGGUGGGGGUUGGAAAGUUUCGGCGGUUGGGGAUGGACUCGCGGCUUAUCAGCUUGUUGGUGGGGUAGUGGCUUACCAAGGCUUUGACGGGUAGCCGGCCUGAGAGGGUGACCGGCCACAUUGGGACUGAGAUACGGCCCAGACUCCUACGGGAGGCAGCAGUGGGGAAUAUUGCACAAUGGGUGGAAGCCUGAUGCAGCAACGCCGUGUGCGGGAUGACGGCCUUCGGGUUGUAAACCGCUUUCGCUCAUGACGAAGCUUUGUGUGACGGUAGUGGGUAAAGAAGCACCGGCUAACUACGUG